This 763-nucleotide ribosomal RNA is filed under the name Phyllosticta capitalensis. Its description in RNAcentral is "eukaryotic LSU rRNA". It matches the Rfam family "Eukaryotic large subunit ribosomal RNA", at positions 87 to 866 of the family's 3401-position model. Lineage: Eukaryota; Fungi; Ascomycota; Dothideomycetes; Botryosphaeriales; Phyllostictaceae. The record is from RNAcentral.
CGGCGAGUGAAGCGGCAAUAGCUCAAAUUUGAAAGCUGGCGUCUUCGACUUCCGCGUUGUAAUUUGUAGAGGAUGCUUCGGCGAAGACUCCUGCCUAAGUCCCCUGGAACGGGGCGUCAUAGAGGGUGAGAAUCCCGUAUGUGGCGGGCAGUCUAAGCCAUGUGAAGCUCCUUCGACGAGUCGAGUUGUUUGGGAAUGCAGCUCUAAAUGGGAGGUAAAUUUCUUCUAAAGCUAAAUAUUGGCCAGAGACCGAUAGCGCACAAGUAGAGUGAUCGAAAGAUGAAAAGCACUUUGGAAAGAGAGUUAAAAAGUACGUGAAAUUGUUGAAAGGGAAGCGCUUGCAACCAGACUCGCUCGUAGUUGCUCAGCCGGCCUCUUGGCCGGUGUACUCUUCUACGAUCGGGCCAGCAUCAGUUCGGGCGGCAGGAUAAAGGUGUCGGGAAUGUAGCACCCUUCGGGGUGUGUUAUAGCCCGGCGCGGAAUGCUGCCAGCCUGGACUGAGGAUCUCGCUUCGGCAAGGAUGCUGGCGUAAUGGUUGUAAGCGGCCCGUCUUGAAACACGGACCAAGGAGUCUAACAUCUAUGCGAGUGUUUGGGUGUCAAACCCAUGCGCGUAAUGAAAGUGAACGGAGGUGGGAACCCCUCACGGGGUGCACCAUCGACCGAUCCUGAUGUCUUCGGAUGGAUUUGAGUAAGAGCAUAGCUGUUGGGACCCGAAAGAUGGUGAACUAUGCCUGAAUAGGGUGAAGCCAGAGGAAACUCUG